AUAUUAGACAAUCAUGCAUGAUUUUUAUCAACUGAUUUAUUGUUUAGAUGAAUGUUAAAGCAAAAAAACAGUCAAUGACAUGAUUUGUGGGCUCGUUUUAUUAUUGCUCCUCAUUAUUUAGUUUCUUUAGUGAAAUAUCUUGCACCUCAGUCAUAAGUCGACCGACUAAACUCGUAAACCAGUGUGCAAUGGGUCCAGUUCAGGACUCACAGUAAAUAUCAGGAUUAGGUAUUUCACGCGAUAGAACUAAUUGUUGGAGUGAUUUGUGAAUCCUUACUACUUUUCAGUUCGACGUUUUGGUUUAGAUACGAAACAAAAAUAUUUUGUUUUAUUUGAGAUGAAAAUAAAAGAUAAUCUUUCAAAAUUCCAAAAAUAAAUAAUGCAUUGCAUUUAUCCAGCGUUUCAUAAAUCAGUGUGAAAACUUUUCACAACAUUCGUCGGCAGGUUUGACUUGUCUAAAGCAAGUCGUAUUAUUACUUAGUGGUAGCAGCAAAUAAUUUAAUUGAUGUAUUGGGUUACUGGC
Molecule: non-coding RNA, 523 nt
Organism: Paramuricea clavata
Lineage: Eukaryota; Metazoa; Cnidaria; Anthozoa; Malacalcyonacea; Plexauridae
Source: the annotation of a GenBank genome assembly